GGUAGCUAUCAGUCUACAUGCAAGUCGAGCGAACAGAUAAGGAGCUUGCUCCUUUGACGUUAGCGGCGGACGGGUGAGUAACACGUGGAUAACCUACCUAUAAGACUGGGAUAACUUCGGGAAACCGGAGCUAAUACCGGAUAACAUAUUGAACCGCAUGGUUCAAUAGUGAAAGGCGGCUUUGCUGUCACUUAUAGAUGGAUCCGCGCCGUAUUAGCUAGUUGGUAAGGUAACGGCUUACCAAGGCAACGAUACGUAGCCGACCUGAGAGGGUGAUCGGCCACACUGGAACUGAGACACGGUCCAGACUCCUACGGGAGGCAGCAGUAGGGAAUCUUCCGCAAUGGGCGAAAGCCUGACGGAGCAACGCCGCGUGAGUGAUGAAGGUCUUCGGAUCGUAAAACUCUGUUAUCAGGGAAGAACAAAUGUGUAAGUAACUGUGCACAUCUUGACGGUACCUGAUCAGAAAGCCACGGCUAACUACGUGCCAGCAGCCGCGGUAAUACGUAGGUGGCAAGCGUUAUCCGGAAUUAUUGGGCGUAAAGCGCGCGUAGGCGGUUUUUUAAGUCUGAUGUGAAAGCCCACGGCUCAACCGUGGAG
RNAcentral lists this ribosomal RNA (600 nucleotides) under Staphylococcus pasteuri. RNAcentral's name for it is "bacterial SSU rRNA". It matches the Rfam family "Bacterial small subunit ribosomal RNA", at positions 38 to 620 of the family's 1533-position model. Lineage: Bacteria; Bacillati; Bacillota; Bacilli; Caryophanales; Staphylococcaceae. The record is from RNAcentral.